CCUCUGGAGAAGCGUAGGUCGAGAGCCGUGCGUCCUCCAAAACACAACUCCUCCAAGCCGCACUGCUUCUUGACACAAUGCAUGCCAAUUGUGCGUCGCCUCACGUGCAUGUACACGAGAUAACGGUAAAUUGCCGCUUGUCGCUUAGGCCGCCCGUUGUGACUCGCUUGUGGGCGUGCUGGCAGCAUAUGGCAACAUGUUCGAUUGUGCAUCAAGAAUUCAGCAUAGCAAGUUCGUAUGAAGGUCUGGUUAUUAAAUGGGUACAUAGUUCAAUAGUAAUAUCCUCUAAAACGCUCUGGUGACAAACUUUGCUGCCCUGUUUCCAAUUGUCCACAUGGCUGGGAGAACCUAUUCAACACUGCACAGCUGAUUCAAAUGGUCAACUCCUCAUCAAGCUAUUCCGUCUCUCACAGUUGAAGUGUACCUAUGAUAAAAAUGACAGACAUCUACAUGCUUUGUAAGUAGGAAAACCUGCAAAAUCGGCAGUGUAUCAAAUACUUGUUCUCCCCACUGUACGUCUGCCCAUGCAUCUAUCAAUCCAAUGUUAUCAUGAUUUGUUAUCAGGAAUAUUGUACUUUAGUAAUCCACAAUGACCUGG
RNAcentral lists this long non-coding RNA (598 nucleotides) under Salmo salar (Atlantic salmon). RNAcentral describes it as "lncRNA (ENSSSAG00000083531.1)". The record is from RNAcentral. Lineage: Eukaryota; Metazoa; Chordata; Actinopteri; Salmoniformes; Salmonidae.